This 503-nucleotide ribosomal RNA is filed under the name Gnaptorina cylindricollis. RNAcentral's name for it is "partial 16S ribosomal RNA". Lineage: Eukaryota; Metazoa; Arthropoda; Insecta; Coleoptera; Tenebrionidae. The record is from RNAcentral.
CCGGACUCAGAUCACGUAAAGUUCUAAAGGUCGAACAGACCUAAUUUAACAGCUUCUGCACCGUUAAUAAACUUUAAUCCAACACGAGGUCGCAAACUUUUUUAUCAAUAAGAACUUUCAAAAAAAAUUACGCUGUUAUCCCUAAGGUAAUUUAAUCUUAUAAUCUUAAAAGGAUCAUUAAAUCACUAAUUAGUGUAAAAAUAAAGAAAAGUUAAAAAAAUUUUCCCAUCACCCCAACAAAACAUAUCAAAAAAUUAAACCUAAUAAAAUCAUAAAAAAAGAACUUUAAAUAUGUAAAACUCUAUAGGGUCUUCUCGUCUUCUUAAAAAAUCUAAGCUUUUUCACUUAAAAAUAAAAUUCUAAAACAAUUAAAUUGAGACAGUAAAUUUUUCAUCAAACCAUUCAUUCCAGCUUCUAAUUAAGAAACUAAUGAUUAUGCUACCUUUGUACAGUUAAAAUACUGCAGCCAUUUAAUAAUAAUCAUUGGGCAGGUCAGACCUUAA